UUAUGUUUACAAAUUAGGAUACUGGAAGCCACACACACACAGACAUAAAGGUCACCAUUACCGAACCCCACCAAUAUUAUCGGUUCAUCAGAUGGAUAAACCAUGAGCAACAGUCCUACACGUUGCAUUCUUUAGGUGGAGUAAAUAAAUUAACCUAAUUGCCCUCCAAUAGGUUUUUGCAUACAAAAUCAUCCUUCUUUCUAAUUAACCAAAAUGAAAAUGGAACAUCAAAGACAUUUCUGUGAUUCUGUAGGUGGCUUUCGUAUGGUUCGAAACCGGUCUCAUUGACCCAACUUGUAAUCUGGUGAAAGAAAGGGAAAUGAGUUUGAACGGUUCUUAUCUAACCGUUUUACUACAACUCCUGUUUCCGUGUAUGAUGUUGUGUUUGUUAUUUUGUAUGGUAUAUAAAAGUGGUUGCUUGAGUUGGGUUUUUUUAGCUAAUUUUUUUCCUUCUUAAAAGAUAUGCAGAAAACUUGUAUAAAAGAUCAUACAGCUCUGCCUGCCUCCUGUUACCAUCAUUCUGAUACGCUUAGGAAAGUUAUUGUAUUUUUCUCUUUGGUUUUAUGAUUCUUGCUAUGUCGAAGCCUUAAAACUAUAUGAUUAUGAGUUCCUCAUCAAAUUUAGGAUUUAGUAUUCUCUUGUGUUGCUCAAAACUCAUAGGUUUGAAGGUGCACUCCAACUGCUCGAUUAAAUGCUUCAACCAAAACUUCUGUAUGUUAGUUCUGGUAUGAUUACUGUUGUACGUAAUCUCCUUCUUGUGAUACCAUAUGUGGACUGCUUCCUCUUGAGAUUUUUUUAACAUUAUAAUUAAUUCAAUCUUUUUACUAUUUAGUGUAUUUUUUCCAUCAUCAGUUUCUAUUAUUUAACUAUGAUGUACUAUACAUACUUACAUACUCUGCUUGGAUUUUUAGUAAGUUUAAAACAUAUUUUGACUAAACAAUAUUUCAUGACGAAUAAUAGUCAGCUUGUUCGCUGUGAUAUACAUAACGUUUUUAUCCGUUUCUUCAUUGGAGAAAGUUCAGUUGUUCUGUGCAGCUGCUAUAUAAAUUACUACAUUAUAUAUGAUGCUUUUUCUGCUGUUUUAUCUCUUUUACUAGUCAAAUUGUGGACCCUGAAGGACCUGCUAUAUUAUUUCUUUGAUUGGUUAAUGGUUACCUAAUGUUAUUCUUGUGGUUCCUUCCAAUCAGAUGAUGAGGAGUGGCGUUUCUUAUUUUUGUGUUGUUGCCAUAGUUGUCAAAAGCAGUUGCUGUGGUCGAUAAUUUGUUGCUCAAGCACUAAAUGAUAAAAGCCAGGAAGUUCUUUCAAAUCCUUGAAACAGGAAUUGAUGACGUGGGUAGUUCAAGCUUAAUAAACUUGCUAGAAUGCAAUACAACUUAAAGGGUUCGGAAUUGACCAACUGUCGUGAACAGCAAAAAGCACAAGACAGUGACCGGUCACAUCACACUUUACGUGUGAACUCUCUCACUCAGCCGCAAAAGGAGCAUUUGGGAGAAUACAUCCUUUUACCCACAGGUCCAAAACCUUUUACCUACCAAAAAGGGAAAGCCCUCCACUGCAGUCAUGGAUCAUUAGUCAAAGGUUUCUUCUUGUGGCUAGCCCUUCCUCUAUAAAUGACAACACCUUGUCAUUCAGCUAUACACUCCUGAAUCUCACAUCUCAUCUCUAGAACUUGCUCCUUACAUGUCUAUUCUUCACCCACUUUAAUACAAUCACAUUACACACAAACAUUCUGGGUUGAAUUUUCUUCAAUCCAGAAUUCAAAGCAAACAAUAACAAAGUUAUCCAACCCUACGUAUUUGCAUACGUAGGGGUACCCCGCGAUCUGCGUUAGGCAAACCGAAACCCUUGAACCCUUUUGCCUAACCCGUCCAUUCACUAUCUUUGGUCUUAUAUUUGUUGUAGCAACAGGAAUUAAUGACCUUAAUGAGGAAACAUAGAUGCUUUAUAACAAACAUGUCAGCUAUCAUGAAUCUAUCAACUUAUUUUGCUGACAUUGUUUAGCAUAGUUGUUUGUGUUGUUACAUGUUUUGCUGAACCCGAUCUAGGUUGCGUGCGUUUAGCUUCAGAGCUUAAUCAUAUCAUGCGUUGAUUGAGUGGGUUGUUUUCUAUGUGCUAUGGAUUGUAUAAAGAGUGUUUAGGAUGCUAUUUUUUACGUUUGAAUCUAUAUACUUCAGAAAUUUGAGAAUGCAUCUUCCUUAAUCAUGGUUAAUAACUUUUGUUUGUAACGGCAGGACUGAGUUGUAUGGAGAACUGUUUUAACAUACAGUUUGUUUAAAAAAAGCGUGUAAUUGAUCUGAUGUAAUGCAAACUAUAUGUUAUAGGUGAAAUGCCGUAACAGUUUUUUAUUGUUUGAAACUAGAAUUAUAUAAGAAUAAAACUUCCCUUUCCUUUUUGUGCCCCCCUCUUGUUCGUUUCUUACAAUUAUUUUAUUCAAACAAAACAUGAGCAUUGUCAUGUAUGGAUAUAUAUUAAGGCACAUAUUGAGAAUAUAAACAUAAUUUAUAUAUGUAUCUUUUUCAAAAUCAUUGAAUAAAUAGCCUUACACAUUAGAAACAUACUUUUUGCUAUGAAACACAAAGUUCUAGUACAAAUGAACUUUUCUUGAAACAAUAGAAUUUAACAACAAUCAACAUUGAAAAACGUACUUUAUCUAUGAAACAUAUAUAGAAUAUUAUAGUAUCUUUGAAGCACAUGAUGCAUGUUCACCGUCCCUGAAAACAUCCAAUGAAGAAGGGUAUCUA
Long non-coding RNA from Helianthus annuus (common sunflower), 2741 nucleotides. RefSeq lists it as uncharacterized. The record is from RefSeq and is a predicted model, not a curated record. Lineage: Eukaryota; Viridiplantae; Streptophyta; Magnoliopsida; Asterales; Asteraceae. The transcript is spliced from 2 exons.